RNAcentral lists this ribosomal RNA (254 nucleotides) under uncultured bacterium. RNAcentral's name for it is "partial 16S ribosomal RNA". It matches the Rfam family "Bacterial small subunit ribosomal RNA", at positions 524 to 776 of the family's 1533-position model. The record is from RNAcentral.
UACGUAGGGUGCAAGCGUUGUCCGGAAUUAUUGGGCGUAAAGAGCUCGUAGGCGGUUUGUCGCGUCUGCUGUGAAAACUCGGGGCUUAACCCCGGGCCUGCAGUGGGUACGGGCAGACUAGAGUGCGGUAGGGGAGACUGGAAUUCCUGGUGUAGCGGUGAAAUGCGCAGAUAUCAGGAGGAACACCGGUGGCGAAGGCGGGUCUCUGGGCCGUAACUGACGCUGAGGAGCGAAAGCGUGGGGGAGCGAACAGG